CUUUCUGGAUGUUUGAUCCAAUCCAAGGACAAGCCAAGAUGUCUCUACUUGUCGAGCGAGCCUUCCUGUGUCUGGAAGGAUCUCAGAGCCGAGGCUGUGAAGGCCUCUCCUGGGGUUCCAGAGCUGAGCUGGCUCCUAGCAGGACCUGGGGGGCUUUGGGGGGAGAGUUUGUCUUUCUGUUGUCAGGCACAGAACUCAAUGUUUGUCCUUUCAGGCUAUCUGCAUCUCUGUCCUGCCCGUCCUCAUUGGGCGUUGGCCCUAGGACUGGAUUUUUGGCAACUGAAACCAGACAGAUGGAAGGGGAAAGAAGAACUGAAGGGCUGUCGGCAGCCUUAGGAAGAAAGAGGAAAUGGAAGAAGAAAUAAAAGUUUUAAUGGGAAACAAAAGAGCAAGAGGCCAAGGUAUGCAUUGCCCAGCUUCCAUAGUGACAAAUAUGGCAUUGGUCUGGAGAAAGGAAGCUCUGUGGCAGUAUCUGAGAGUGGAUAUGACGUGUGUGCGGAAAGGCACUCCAGUGGAGAUGGAAGUUAACCGUCCCACCAGGAAUCCAGAGAUGGAAAAAUGGAGGCUGAAAGCUUUGCUCAAAAGGCCUAUAUCUUGGAGCUGGUAUUGUGGCCAGAUAGGUUAACCUGC
This is a long non-coding RNA of Ochotona princeps (American pika), 630 nucleotides long. RefSeq lists it as uncharacterized. NCBI's taxonomy places the organism in Eukaryota, Metazoa, Chordata, Mammalia, Lagomorpha, Ochotonidae. The transcript has 3 exons. The record is from RefSeq and is a predicted model, not a curated record.